ACGGAGGGGGCUAGCGUUGUUCGGAAUUACUGGGCGUAAAGCGCGCGUAGGCGGCUUUGUAAGUCAGAGGUGAAAGCCUGGAGCUCAACUCCAGAACUGCCUUUGAAACUACAUCGCUAGAAUCGUGGAGAGGUGAGUGGAAUUCCGAGUGUAGAGGUGAAAUUCGUAGAUAUUCGCAAGAACACCAGUGGCGAAGGCGGCUCACUGGCCCGAUACUGACGCUGAGGUGCGAAAGCGUGGGGAGCAAACAGGA
This 253-nucleotide ribosomal RNA is filed under the name uncultured prokaryote. RNAcentral describes it as "partial 16S ribosomal RNA". It matches the Rfam family "Bacterial small subunit ribosomal RNA", at positions 525 to 777 of the family's 1533-position model. The record is from RNAcentral.